CUGAAACAGGAGGUGGGCUGGUACACACCAGGGGGUCCCCUGUGCUCCCCCAGGUCACAAUCUCCAUGCUUGUGACAUAGUCUCAACACUGUAAAUCCUAUGGCCCCACCUCUACUCCGCCUUGAAGAAGUUAGGUGUGUCCACAGGCAUCACCUGAAAGUCACCGUGACGUCUUUGAAGUUCUGCAGGAAACUCAACCCUGGGCUCACUGUGGAGGGUGCCGCUGAUCACCACCUAUGCACUCAUAAGCCUGUGAGAGAGAAAAAAGCUGGGAGAAUUGGAUCCAAGGCUUGGCUUCUUCAUUCUGCAGCCUUGCACAAUGGAUGGAAGGAGCCCUGUGACUGGCUUGUCGAUGAAUGAAGAGGACACAAGAGCCGGCAGGCAGAGCACAAGUUAGAAUGAGCUUUGAGAACAACACAAGGGUGAUGGCAGCCAGUGGGAGCCCUGAGAAGGGAGAGUCCGGGCCCAGGGUCACCAGGCAGGUGCCAGGGAUGCCAAGCAGAGGGAGGGUAGUCGAGGGAGUUGUCAGUCACCCAGUCGUGUCUGACUCUUUGCAACCCCGUGGACUGUAACACCCCAAGCUUUUCUGUCCCUCACCAUUUCCCAAAGUUUGCCCAAGUUCAUGUCCAUUGCAUCAGUGAUGCUAUCCAGCCAUCUCAUCGUCUGACGCCCUCUUCUCCUUCUGCCCUCAAUCUUUCCCAACAUCAGGGACUCCAUCCCCUAGUCGAGGGAGGCUGGGAGAACAAAAGGAUUCUGACUAAAAGGCAAAAUAGUUUGUUUCUAGUGCCGGCUUGCCACACCUCCCCACCCCGCCCACCCUUGGGCUGAUUCACCUGUAC
RNAcentral lists this long non-coding RNA (839 nucleotides) under Capra hircus (goat). RNAcentral describes it as "lncRNA (ENSCHIG00000004839.1)". The record is from RNAcentral. Lineage: Eukaryota; Metazoa; Chordata; Mammalia; Artiodactyla; Bovidae.